CUUUUUUGUUACUCCAAGGCUAAAGGGUUCCACUGCCAAAUUCAAACCAACCAUCAAGAAAAGGAAACCAAUCAUUCACCAGUGAACAAUUUUCUCAUUUGCCAGCCUUUACUAGCCAGCCUUCAACAAAAGCGAACAAUCACCAAUCACUAAACAUUUUCUCAUUUGGCUGCCUUCACUAGGGCAUGACAAUAUUUGUUGGUUUAAGUGAAGUUGUGAACUUACAAAACAAAAGGCAGUGAAGACCUUGCCUGCAAAUCUUAGUGCCUUAACCAUUUGUUGCCAAGGUGGAAGACAAUGCCGUUCAACUGUCAGUAGAGAAUGCAAGCAAAUUUAAUUGCCUAGACACGAUAAAAGGUUCAUUGCACUCAUUACGUGGGAAGUGAACUGACAAGCAACUUGGCAAAUCCAAAUUUCUGGCUGCAAAGACUUGAGAAGCACAAACAGAUCUCAUUGGUAUGUCGUAGCAGUAAAAUAAAGUUCCAGUUAAAGGACAGGCAUGUGCAUUUUGCACUUUUGGAUGCAAAAUUUUGUCAGCUAUCACAUUCAAUGUAUUCAUAACCAUUUUGCUUAUUUACUUUUGCUUAUUUACUACAGCUGGCAUUUUUGUCGUGUCUUUUAUCCCCACUAGACACAUAAAAACAAGACAUCAACCAGGUUUGUUGUGCAAAACCAAUGUUUGUGACUACCCAAUUUUAAUUGUCAUUUGCAAUAAGUAUUCAUGAGCUCUGGAGUGGAUAUGCAUUAACAGAUGUAUGUUUAAGGAUUAACAGAUAAAAUUUUCACAAGAAGUCCAUGGGAUUAGAUGGGAUGAACACCUUUUUUUCUUUGAGAAUUAUAUACAGUACAAGCUAAGGGAGAUUCAGAGUAGCUUUUCAUGGUUUCAUAUGUAGCAGUUCCUGGUGAGGAAGACUUAAUUUGAGGGGUCUUUACUAUGGAUUGGCUGGAAUUCUUGUUGGUGUCUCAGUUAAUUCCCAUUAAUGGAACUGGUGGGUAAUGUUGUUUUUUCAUGAUGUCUCAACAAUAUGCAUGCCCUGCAUCUGGUUUCUACAUGCUUGAUGCAUGUGGUUUGCUAAGUAAGCUGCAAUUUGUCUAUGUUAAAACUCCUUCCAGAUUUUUCUUUGAGGACUGAAAAUGACUUGUGCAUUUCUUUGAGGACUGAAAAUUCCUUUCAGCUUUUCUGUUGGAUUGCUCUGAUGCAUUUCCCUAGUUAAUUAGUUAAACAAAGCAUACCUUGUGGUCUAUUAACUAAAUGGUAGUUUGAAGCAUAAUUUUCUUACUGUAUCUAUUUUAUGUGAGAAAAUGAAUGGGGCAUCUUCUGUGGCUUUUCGUGUGCUAAGUAUCAUGAUCAUAAUCUACUUCUUGUUCAAGAAGAAGAAAGAAGCCAAUUUUCAACAGGAGGUAAAUGGGAUGUUUUAAUGCCAGGUCUUCAAGAUGGACUUGAAACAAAGACGUCUACUUUAUCUUGAAUCAAUGAAAUUGGUGUCUUCACUGACUGGAUCCCUUAAGAAUCUUUUCCUCCUGGGAAAAUGAUGGUUAUAGCUUAGUUCUCGCCAAAGCCUGUGGGCAUGUUGGAAGUUUAUUUCUUGGUAUUUUGAUCAAGAGCUUCCACGUAAUUACAUUUCAAAUUUCAGUUGCUUCAUUGGUGCAUUUUGACAGUAUUUUUAGAUUUUAUUCAAAUUCUUUGUAUUCUCGAAACAACAGGAUGCAAUUUUUACAUGUUGGGAAACUAAUAAAGAGUAUAGGGCUGUACUUUCUUGUGAACUCUGCAAUUGUCUAAGUAGCAUUAGGAGAAUCAGUCUCUUUGAAUAAUGUGAAGCUCUUCUGAUGUCUGUUAAACACCAAUCGUGCAAAUAGGCACAAGUUACC
Coffea eugenioides is the source of this 1869-nucleotide long non-coding RNA. RefSeq lists it as uncharacterized. The record is from RefSeq and is a predicted model, not a curated record. The transcript is spliced from 7 exons. NCBI's taxonomy places the organism in Eukaryota, Viridiplantae, Streptophyta, Magnoliopsida, Gentianales, Rubiaceae.